RNAcentral lists this ribosomal RNA (550 nucleotides) under uncultured metazoan. RNAcentral describes it as "SSU rRNA". It matches the Rfam family "Eukaryotic small subunit ribosomal RNA", at positions 594 to 1145 of the family's 1831-position model. Lineage: Eukaryota; Metazoa. The record is from RNAcentral.
AUAGCGUAUACUAAAGUUGUUGCGGUUAAAAAGCUCGUAGUUGGAUCUUGGAAUGUGUUCAAGCGGGUCAGCUUCUGGCUGUUCGCUGCUUGACGUGUUCUUCUAUUUGGUUUUGGUGCGGUGCGCUUAACUGCGUGUCACUCCCGGCCGAAACGUUUACCUUGAAAAAAUUAGAGUGUUCAAAACAGACCUGUUUGAGUCUGAAUAUUCGUGCAUGGAAUAAUGAAAUAUGAAUUCGGUUCUAUUUUGUUGGUUUUCGGAACUCGAGUUAAUGAUCAAGAGGGACAGACGGGGGCAUUCGUACUCUGCCGUUAGAGGUGAAAUUCUUGGAUCGGCGGAAGACGCGCAACUGCGAAAGCAUUUGCCAAGAAUGUUUUCUUUAACCAAGAACGAUAGUCGGAGGUUCGAAGACGAUCAGAUACCGUCCUAGUUUCGACUGUAAACUAUGCCUGCUAACGAUCAGACAGAGUUCUCUACGACUUGUCUGGCAGUUUCCGGGAAACCAAAGCGUUUGGGUUCCGGGGGAAGUAUGGUUGCAAAGCUGAAACUU